This 472-nucleotide ribosomal RNA is filed under the name uncultured Desulfocapsa sp. RNAcentral describes it as "bacterial SSU rRNA". It matches the Rfam family "Bacterial small subunit ribosomal RNA", at positions 923 to 1382 of the family's 1533-position model. Lineage: Bacteria; Pseudomonadati; Thermodesulfobacteriota; Desulfobulbia; Desulfobulbales; Desulfocapsaceae. The record is from RNAcentral.
GCACAAGCGGUGGAGCAUGUGGUUCAAUUCGAUGCAAACCGAAGAACUUACCCGGGUUUGACAUGCUGGUGGUACUGACCCGAAAGGGAAGGGACCCAGGGCCUUCGGGCGCUUGGGAACCAGCACAGGUGCUGCAUGGCUGUCGUCAGCUCGUGUCGUGAGAUGUUGGGUUAAGUCCCGCAACGAGCGCAACCCUCGCCUUUAGUUGCCAGCAUUCAGUUGGGCACUCUAAAGGGACUGCCGGUGUCAAACCGGAGGAAGGUGGGGAUGACGUCAAGUCCUCAUGGCCUUUAUGUCUAGGGCUACACACGUACUACAAUGGCAGGUACAAAGGGCAGCGACACAGCGAUGUGAUGCGAAUCCCGAAAAGCCGGUCUCAGUCCGGAUUGGAGUCUGCAACUCGACUCCAUGAAGUUGGAAUCGCUAGUAAUCGUGGAUCAGCAUGCCACGGUCGAAUACGUUCCCGGGCCUU